GAAGCGGCGAGAUCGAGUGACU
RNAcentral lists this small nuclear RNA (22 nucleotides) under Arabidopsis thaliana (thale cress). Its description in RNAcentral is "snRNA_08938". Lineage: Eukaryota; Viridiplantae; Streptophyta; Magnoliopsida; Brassicales; Brassicaceae. The record is from RNAcentral.